Molecule: long non-coding RNA, 1301 nt
Filed under: Nicotiana benthamiana
Lineage: Eukaryota; Viridiplantae; Streptophyta; Magnoliopsida; Solanales; Solanaceae
Description: long non-coding RNA (NBEN_LNC026662)
Source: RNAcentral
GGCACCACCAUGAACAUCCUAUACGGUGACAAUGUCUGUAACCAAGGUGAUGUCGACUCCAUGAACAACAUCAUAUCCCACUACCUCUAUUACCUCGAUUUGAUGGGCGUUGGUCGGGAGGAAGCAGGGCCUCACGAUAUACUCACCUGCGCAGAACAAAAAUCUUUCAAUCCAUCCUCCACCUCAACUGCUUCUUCUUGAGACUUAACUUGGAUUUUCGACAGUCUGCAUUUGCUGCUUUAUCCUCAAAGAUUUUCGCAAAAGAAGCAUUAUCCAAUAAGUGGAGCGAGAUCGGCUUUGUCCUGCUCAUGGUGUAAACUGUGUAUUUGGGAGUCAUUAUAUAAGGAUUAAGGAUCUCGCGCUUUCUUGUUGUGUCUUAUUGAAGUGAAUUUUGAUCAUGUAAUUUGUGCAGUCGAUAUACUCACCUGUGCGGAACAAAUACCUUUCAAUCCAUCCUCCACCUCAACUGCUGCUUCUUGAGACUUAACUUGGAUUUUCGACAGUCUGCAUUUUCUGCUUCUCAACGUUUUUCACAAAAGAAGCAUAAUCCAAUAAGUGGAGCAAGAUCCGGUUGUCCUGCUCCCAGUGUAAACUGUGUGUUUGGGAGUCGUAUAUAAAGGAUUAAGGAUGUCACGCUUUCUUCUUGUGUCUUAUUGAAGUGAAUUUUGAUCAUGUAGUGUGUGCAGCGUUCGGACCGAGGGUCUAUCUGAAACAACCUCUCAAUUCCAUCAGGGUAGGGAUAAGGUUUCCGCACAUACUACCCUCCUCAGGCUUCACUUGCGGGAUUAUACUGAGUUGUUGUUGUUGUAGUAGCAGUUUAAAGUCUUGAUAUAUAAUAUGCAAUAUGAAAACUUCUCUCUAUUAUCUUUUCAACUGUUAAAAUAAAUAUGCAAAUAACAAAAGGAAAAGGAGGAAAAAGAAAAGGUUCUUUAGGGAGGAAGGAAGUUGUUGACAAUAACAUACGACUGUCCCUUUCUUUUACCAAGUUAAGGCAAUUCAAAAAAUAUUGUCAAGACAGUUUAUCCACUACUUACGUGAUUGUCCUUUUCUUUUACCAAGUUAAGACAUUCAAAAAGGUUGUCAAGACAUUUCUUCGGCUCUCUAUGAGUUUUAAUUGUUUAUGGGACUUUAGUAAGGAUUGUGUUCGGAUCAACUUGUGCACACCCUUUGUACUAUACUUACUAUCUUCAAUUUUUUUUAUUAUUUCACCUAUUUUUCUUGGACAUUUCAUUUUUAUAUUUGUUAUUAUUUUCGCAUAGGACGUGUUAAAAAUUAUGGUCAUCCUAUUCAUGAACAAGUUU